Molecule: ribosomal RNA, 219 nt
Filed under: uncultured bacterium
Lineage: Bacteria
Description: partial 16S ribosomal RNA
Rfam family: Bacterial small subunit ribosomal RNA
Source: RNAcentral
UACAGAGGGUGCAAGCGUUGCUCGGAAUCAUUGGGCGUAAAGGGUAGGUAGGUGGUCUCAUUUGUCGGUAGGUGAAAGCCUUGGGCUUAACUCAAGAAGUGCCUCCGAAACGGUGAGACUAGAGUUCUGGAGAGGCUAGGGGGAAUUCCCGGUGUAGCGGUGAAAUGCGUAGAGAUCGGGGAGGAACACCAGAGGCGAAGGCGCCUAGCUGGGACAGAU